AUUGAACGCUGGCGGCAGGCCUAACACAUGCAAGUCGAACGAGUAGCGGACGGGUGAGUAAUGUCUGGGAAACUGCCCGAUGGCGGGGGAUAACUACUGGAAACAGUAGCUAAUACCGCAUAACAUAGAAUGUGCCCAGAUGGGAUUAGAUAGUAGGUGGGGUAACGGCUCACCUAGGUGACGAUCCCUAGCUGGUCUGAGAGGAUGCCCAGCCAAAGUGGAACGGAGAAACGGUCCAGACUCCUACGGGAGGCAGCAGUGGGGAAUAUUGCACAAUGGGCGCAAGCCUGAUGCAGCCAUGCCGGGGGUAUGAAGAAGGCCUUCGGGUUGUAAAGUACUUUCAGCGAGGAGACGUUACUCGCAGAAGAAGCACCGGCUAACUCCGUGCCAGCAGCCGCGGUAUAC
Molecule: ribosomal RNA, 405 nt
Filed under: uncultured bacterium
Lineage: Bacteria
Description: partial 16S ribosomal RNA
Rfam family: Bacterial small subunit ribosomal RNA
Source: RNAcentral